GCGGGUUUUUUUUCAGGGCUCCGGGUGGGGUUGUGGGAAGCGGUCGGCUCUCAGAGGGUCUAUGGAUUUCGGGUGGAAACCUGAAGGUGUCGCGUCGGCCAGCUGGCGUGGGUCUUCUAUUAAGAGAUCGAGUAUCUUAUCCUCAGAGCUUAAACGUUGUAAUAGUUGCAGUUUUUAAUGCUUUAUUUAAAAUGUUAAAUUCUUAUCCCUCCUGCAAUCAGCUGUUCAUGAGAGAAGUACAUCUCUACAAGGCACUCCAGUAUGAACUCCAUUGUGACUCGCAGAAUCAGAGCAUGGCUGAGUUGGAAGGGACCUCAGGCAAAACUGGAUGAGUUUUAGCAGCCAGACUCCUGAUUCAAGUUGUGCCUGGAAGCUGCAGUCUUCUUUGUGCAGACGGGGGAUCACAGGAGUACAGCUUUCUGUUGAGUGCUGCAUUAAUGCUACUCAGGUUCUACAGAAGUGACUCAACAUCCCACAGGCCUGCCAGGAUGACAUGUCCAUUGCAGGAUACGGUGCUGGCUUUGCUACAGAACAACUACUGACAGCCUUCUCAAUCCCAUUCUGCAGCUCAGGAAAAGAUCUGCACUCGGAAAAGUUCCAAUUAAGAAGAAGGAGCAACAAUAAUAACAACAGAAAAAAAUGGCAAACUUUAGAAACUGACCUUAAAAGUGGCACUUUGUGGACCACCCCAUACAUGCUGAGGCACAUUCCUGAACAGAUAAUUUUUGCAUUUGUUUUUGCUAUCUGUUUUCAGAGAACAGCAUUAGUGUCAUUAUCAUGUUCCUGGCAGUGAAGUAUAGAGAAUGUUACCACUGAUUCCAGCAGCAAUGUCAUCAGUGCAACAGUACAGCAAUUUUGAAUACUGGAAAUAUGGGUUAUAUCCAUUUGAUGUGACAAAUUUACACAAAAUAAACCAGCAUUAAUAAAACUGUUGUAGAAAUGU
Molecule: long non-coding RNA, 943 nt
Filed under: Phasianus colchicus (ring-necked pheasant)
Lineage: Eukaryota; Metazoa; Chordata; Aves; Galliformes; Phasianidae
Description: lncRNA (ENSPCLG00000012255.1)
Source: RNAcentral